AGAGGGGUACAGACAGCAUACGCACGCUAUGCAAACACAAUGUAUUGUGUCUGUACAGCGUUGUGAGGAAAGUCCGGACACCGCAGGGCGGGAUGCCGGGUAACACCCGGGCGCCGCAAGGCGAUGGAAAGUGCAGCAGAAAACAUACCGCCCCGUCAGGGGUAAGGGUGAAAAGGCGAGGUAAGAGCUCACCGCAUCUGCAGUAAUGCAGGUGGCAGUGCAAACCCCAUCCGGUGCAAGGCCAAAUAGGCAACCGCUACUAAAGUGGCCCGCUUGAGGUUGCGGGUAGGCCGCGUGGACAUGCAUGGCAACAUGCAUGCAAGAUUGAUGGCUGUCAAAACAGAAUCCGGCUUAUGGACCCCUCUUUAU
Molecule: RNase P RNA, 369 nt
Filed under: Spirochaetota bacterium
Lineage: Bacteria; Pseudomonadati; Spirochaetota
Description: Spirochaetes bacterium (anaerobic digester metagenome) RNase P RNA component class A
Rfam family: Bacterial RNase P class A
About the family: Ribonuclease P (RNase P) is a ubiquitous endoribonuclease, found in archaea, bacteria and eukarya as well as chloroplasts and mitochondria. Its best characterised activity is the generation of mature 5'-ends of tRNAs by cleaving the 5'-leader elements of precursor-tRNAs.
Source: RNAcentral